AUUGAACGCUGGCGGGAUGCUUUACACAUGCAAGUCGAACGGCAGCGCGGACUUCGGUCUGGCGGCGAGUGGCGAACGGGUGAGUAAUGUAUCGGAACGUGCCCAGUAGCGGGGGAUAACUACGCUAAAGCGUAGCUAAUACCGCAUACGCCCUACGUGGGAAAGCAGGGGAUCGUAAGACAUUGCACUAUUGGAGCGGCCGAUAUGGGAUUAGCUGGUUGGUGGGGUAACGGCUGACCAAGGCGACGAUCCGUAGCUGGUUGAGAGGACGAACAGCCACACUGGGACUGAGACACGGUCCAGACUCCUACGGGAGGCAGCAGUGGGGAAUUUUGGACAAUGGGGGAAAGCCUGAUCCAGCCAUCCGGCGUGUGCGAUGAAGGCCUUCGGGUUGUAAAGCACUUUUGGGAGGAAAGAAACGUAGCGGGCUAAUACCCCGUGGAAAUGACGGUACCUGAAGAAUAAGCACCGGCUAACUACGUG
Molecule: ribosomal RNA, 483 nt
Filed under: uncultured bacterium
Lineage: Bacteria
Description: partial 16S ribosomal RNA
Rfam family: Bacterial small subunit ribosomal RNA
Source: RNAcentral